CAGCCGCCGCGGUAAUACGAAGGGGGCUAGCGUUGCUCGGAAUGACUGGGCGUAAAGGGCGCGUAGGCGGAUGGCACAGUCAGAUGUGAAAUUCCCGGGCUUAACCUGGGGGCUGCAUUUGAUACGUGUUGUCUAGAGUGAGGAAGAGGGUCGUGGAAUCCCCAGUGUAGAGGUGAAAUUCGUAGAUAUUGGGAAGAACACCGGUGGCGAAGGCGGCGACCUGGUCCUUGACUGACGCUGAGGCGCGAAAGCGUGGGGAGCAAACAGGAUUAGAUACCCGGGUAGUCCCUGUCUCUUAUAC
RNAcentral lists this ribosomal RNA (301 nucleotides) under uncultured bacterium. RNAcentral's name for it is "partial 16S ribosomal RNA". It matches the Rfam family "Bacterial small subunit ribosomal RNA", at positions 509 to 807 of the family's 1533-position model. The record is from RNAcentral.